AGGAGGUUGGCUUAGAAGCAGCCACCCUUGAAAGAGUGCGUAAUAGCUCACUGGUCAAGUGAUUCCGCGCCGACAAUGUAGCGGGGCUCAAGUACACCGCCGAAACCGUGGCAUUCAGUUUUGCUGGAUGGGUAGGGGAGCGUCGUUCACGAGGUGAAGCCAGCGGGUAACUUCUGGUGGAUUGUGGACGAGUGAGAAUGCAGGCAUGAGUAGCGAAAGACGGGUGAGAAACCCGUCCGCCGGAUGACUAAGGGUUCCAGGGUCAAGCUAAUCUGCCCUGGGUAAGUCGGGACCUAAGGCGAGGCCGACAGGCGUAGUCGAUGGACAACGGGUUGAUAUUCCCGUACCAGUGAAGAACCGCCCAUGCUGAGCCGGUGAUACUAACCGCCCGAACCAUCCCGAACCUCGUCUUUGACGGGGUCGGUGAUGGGAGCGCGGGACCUGAACCGGGGAGGCAAGCGCAUUAACAGGUGUGACGCAGGAAGGUAGCCGGGCCGGGCAAUGGAAAUGACCUGGUCUAAGGGUGUAGGGCUGCCGGUAGGUAAAUCCGCCGGCUGUAUGCCUGAGACCUGAUGGGCGCCCACAUGGUGGGUGAUCCGGUGAUCCUAUGCUGCCUAGAAAAGCAUCGGCGCGAGGUUCAAACUGCCCGUACCCUAAACCGACACAGGUGGUCAGGUAGAGAAUACUAAGGCGAUCGAGAGAAUCAUGGUUAAGGAACUCGGCAAAAUGCCCCCGUAACUUCGGGAGAAGGGGGGCCCCAACCUUGAGCACCACGUGCUGGUGUGAGGGGAUCGGGGCCGCAGAGACCAGGGGGAAGCGACUGUUUAUCAAAAACACAGGUCCAUGCGAAGUCGUAAGACGAUGUAUAUGGACUGACUCCUGCCCGGUGCUGGAAGGUUAAGGGGACCCGUUAGCUUCGGCGAAGCGGAGAACUUAAGCCCCAGUAAACGGCGGUGGUAACUAUAACCAUCCUAAGGUAGCGAAAUUCCUUGUCGGGUAAGUUCCGACCUGCACGAAUGGAGUAACGACUUCCCCGCUGUCUCAACCAUGAACUCGGCGAAAUUGCAUUACGAGUAAAGAUGCUCGUUACGCGCAGAAGGACGGAAAGACCCCGUGACCUUUACUAUAGUUUGGUAUUGGUAUUCGGUGUGACUUGUGUAGGAUAGGUGGGAGACUGUGAAGCGGACACGCCAGUGUUCGUGGAGUCGCCGUUGAAAUACCACUCUGGUCACUCUGGAUAUCUAACUUCGGCCCGUGAUCCGGGUCAGGGACAGUGCCUGAUGGGUAGUUUAACUGGGGCGGUUGCCUCCUAAAAUGUAACGGAGGCGCCCAAAGGUUCCCUCAGCCUGGUUGGCAAUCAGGUGUCGAGUGCAAGUGCACAAGGGAGCUUGACUGUGAGAGUGGCAGCUCGAGCAGGGACGAAAGUCGGGACUAGUGAUCCGGCGGCUCGUUGUGGAACGGCCGUCGCUCAACGGAUAAAAGGUACCUCGGGGAUAACAGGCUGAUCUUGCCCAAGAGUCCAUAUCGACGGCAUGGUUUGGCACCUCGAUGUCGGCUCGUCGCAUCCUGGGGCUGGAGUAGGUCCCAAGGGUUGGGCUGUUCGCCCAUUAAAGCGGUACGCGAGCUGGGUUCAGAACGUCGUGAGACAGUUCGGUCCCUAUCCUCUGCGCGCGUUGGAAAUUUGAGAAGGUCUGUCCUUAGUACGAGAGGACCGGGACGGACGAACCUCUGGUAUGUCAGUUGUACCGCCAGGUGCAUGGCUGAUUAGCUACGUUCGGGAUGGAUAACCGCUGAAAGCAUCUAAGCGGGAAGCCGGCUUCGAGAUGAGAUUUCCUUGCCCCUUUGAGGGUGUGAGGCCCCCAGCUAGAACACUGGGUUGAUAGGCUGGAUGUGGAAGCGAGGACUGAAGACUCGUGAAGCUGACCAGUACUAAUAGGCCGAUGACUUACACACA
RNAcentral lists this ribosomal RNA (1954 nucleotides) under Fictibacillus arsenicus. Its description in RNAcentral is "bacterial LSU rRNA". It matches the Rfam family "Bacterial large subunit ribosomal RNA", at positions 1095 to 2925 of the family's 2925-position model. Lineage: Bacteria; Bacillati; Bacillota; Bacilli; Caryophanales; Fictibacillaceae. The record is from RNAcentral.